GAUGAAGAACGUAGCGAAAUGCGAUACUUGGUGUGAAUUGCAGAAUCCCGUGAACCAUCGAGUCUUUGAACGCAAGUUGCGCCCGAAGCCAUUAGGCCGAGGGCACGCCUGCCUGGGCGUCACACGUCUGUGCCCCCCCAUCUACUCCUUCGGGAUUGCGGGGGGCGGAUGAUGGCCUCCCGUGCGCCUCGUCGCGCGGUUGGCAUAAAUGCCAAGUCCUCGGCGACGCACGCCACGACAAUCGGUGGUUGCGAAACCUCGGUUGCCCGUCGUGUGCGGUCGUCGCGCAUCGAGGGCUCGAAAAAAUUGCCGGGCUCCGGCUCGGCUUUCAACGCGACCCCAGGUCAGGCGGGGUUACCCGCUGAAUUUAAGCAUAUCAAUAAGCGGAGGA
Molecule: unclassified non-coding RNA, 391 nt
Filed under: soil metagenome
Description: partial contains 5.8S ribosomal RNA, internal transcribed spacer 2, and large subunit ribosomal RNA
Rfam family: 5.8S ribosomal RNA (bases 1-122)
Source: RNAcentral